Molecule: non-coding RNA, 138 nt
Organism: Caenorhabditis elegans
Lineage: Eukaryota; Metazoa; Nematoda; Chromadorea; Rhabditida; Rhabditidae
Source: Ensembl
UAGAGGGGACGGGCAAGUGGUUUGCUUACGUGAGAUAUAAACUUGAAAGCUCAAACUAUUUUCUGUGUCUCUCUAGCACUUGUCUUUUCUCGGCACCCGCACUUCCAUUGCUUUCAUCACGUAAAACAGUGGCAGAAA